CAGUAGCCGCGGGAAUACGGAGGAUCCAAGCGUUAUCCGGAAUCAUUGGGUUUAAAGGGUCCGUAGGCGGUCUUGUAAGUCAGUGGUGAAAGCCCAUCGCUCAACGGUGGAACGGCCAUUGAUACUGCAGGACUUGAAUUAUUGGGAAGUAACUAGAAUAUGUAGUGUAGCGGUGAAAUGCUUAGAGAUUACAUGGAAUACCAAUUGCGAAGGCAGGUUACUACCAAUUGAUUGACGCUGAUGGACGAAAGCGUGGGUAGCGAACAGGAUUAGAGACCCCAGUAGUCCCUGUCUCUUAUAC
This 301-nucleotide ribosomal RNA is filed under the name uncultured bacterium. RNAcentral describes it as "partial 16S ribosomal RNA". It matches the Rfam family "Bacterial small subunit ribosomal RNA", at positions 509 to 807 of the family's 1533-position model. The record is from RNAcentral.